Molecule: non-coding RNA, 46 nt
Organism: Schistosoma margrebowiei
Lineage: Eukaryota; Metazoa; Platyhelminthes; Trematoda; Strigeidida; Schistosomatidae
Source: Rfam
GCACUGCUGAGGAGUCCGACACUAGAACGAAACGGCCGUCCAAUGC